AUUGAACGCUGGCGGCAUGCUUUACACAUGCAAGUCGAACGGCAGCGGGGAGGAGCUUGCUUCUCUGCCGGCGAGUGGCGAACGGGUGAGUAAUACAUCGGAACGUGUCGAGAAGAGGGGGAUAACCACCCGAAAGGGUGGCUAAUACCGCAUAAAUUCUGAGGAAGAAAGCUGGGGACCUAGGAAUAGGCCUAGCGCUUUUUGAGCGGCCGAUGUCGGAUUAGCUAGUUGGUGAGGUAAAGGCUCACCAAGGCGAAGAUCUGUAGCGGGUCUGAGAGGAUGAUCCGCCACCCUGGGACUGAGACACGGCCCAGACUCCUACGGGAGGCAGCAGUGGGGAAUUUUGGACAAUGGGGGCAACCCUGAUCCAGCCAUACCGCGUGUAUGAAGAAGGCCUUAGGGUUGUAAAGUACUUUUGUUAGGGAAGAAAAGUCAGCUGUGAAUAAUGGCUGAUACUGACGGUACCUAAAGAAUAAGCACCGGCUAACUACGUG
RNAcentral lists this ribosomal RNA (494 nucleotides) under uncultured bacterium. RNAcentral's name for it is "partial 16S ribosomal RNA". It matches the Rfam family "Bacterial small subunit ribosomal RNA", at positions 30 to 507 of the family's 1533-position model. The record is from RNAcentral.